UAUUACACGUCAUUUUGUUCUGGACAGAAGGCAGUCACUUUUCUAGAAAUCAUCGUUCUUUACUUUACGCGAAGCUAUUACAGAAAACUCCAGCUGAUACACAGUUCAAUCAAAAUUCGUAAUAAGGAAGAAGGAGAGAAAAGAUAACUUUAGUGUGACAAGAUGGAAAACGAAAAAAUGUUGGGAGGGUCGAGAAUUUGGAGAUAUAUCACUUCUGAAGUAUCUGAACUUAACACUGAACCGCCUGAAAUUCUCUAAAUUUAUUUCUCAUUGGCCAACAAUCAACAAGGCAACAUUUGACGAUUCUGAUCUUGCCAUGAACGGAAGAGAACACUUGGUGCAAGAUCAUAAUUUGGUUUACAUUUGAAGAGAAAGUAAGGAGAAAAUACUUCAAGGAUCUCAUUCCUCCAACAAUUAUGGCAGAUUUGUUCCCGGAUUACCCUCGCUGCUGUUCGAUAGACUAUCAAUUGGCGGAAAAUGAAAAGUGGUCGGCCGCGCUGAAAUUCAAGAUCGAUAUAUUAUGUAGAUGUAUAUAAAUUACAAGUGCAUAUCUGGGCUCCCUUCUUCAGUGGCCCCGUUUCCCUAAAUAACCACUAACCAACGCCCGCCGGUGGUCUUUCACUCGCUGCGACAACCAGGAGGAAGGGAGAUGUUUGGUCGAACGGGGACUUGCAAGGCGCAUGAUUCGAUGAAAUCUGUUGGAGGGUUAUGAGUCUAAGCCGGAAGCCUACUAUGAUACACUGCUCUCAUAAUAACUGCUCCUCAGCUCUCUUCGCUCUUUUUCCGGUUUCUCUUAACCAUGUCCGGGUAAUCUCCCUGGUCGAGUCAGU
This is a long non-coding RNA of Daphnia pulicaria, 830 nucleotides long. RefSeq lists it as uncharacterized. The transcript is spliced from 4 exons. The record is from RefSeq and is a predicted model, not a curated record. NCBI's taxonomy places the organism in Eukaryota, Metazoa, Arthropoda, Branchiopoda, Diplostraca, Daphniidae.